Molecule: long non-coding RNA, 553 nt
Filed under: Gossypium barbadense (sea-island cotton)
Lineage: Eukaryota; Viridiplantae; Streptophyta; Magnoliopsida; Malvales; Malvaceae
Description: long non-coding RNA (GBAR_LNC004665)
Source: RNAcentral
UGGAAUUUCUUAUCUCAUCGCCACCUUGGAAAAUCCAAUAUCUCCAACUGCAAAAGAGGUCGCAUAGUAGCAACCUUCAAGAAAACUAACUUCGACAAAAGAUGCUUGAAUUGAUUCCAGCUCCACUCCCAAUUAAAAUUAGCCAUAACACACAAAGGGACAUGGUAUAAUGGAACAAGCUCUGGACGGUGAUAAUGAUUUAUUAACGGUCCACAGUCUUUCACCUAAGAAUCGCGCGAAAAAUCAAUCACCUCUCCAUUCCCAACAGACCAAAGUAUACCCCGUCGCACCUCAUCUCAUAUGCUAGCGAUACCUUUCCAAAGGUGAGAGCAAUUUAUCAACUUGAGCACCCGAAUCUAAAGUAAAUAUGGUCUGGGCACUAAGUUAAAGCCAAGCUUCACGAGAAAUGUUGCAUUUUGAUAACUGAACUUUUUUAAGCCAAGCCCGCCCUGGCAAGUAGGUUUAGAAACCUCUUUCCAGUUGACCAAAUUAAUCUUCCUCUAUUCAUUCUAUGUCCCCAGACAAAUCUUCUUAUGAACUUUUCCAUCUUUUC